UGUCCCAUGUGAGUUGGGUCUAAGGGUUGGCCCAAAGGGAAACAAACCCUAAGUCUGCCCUAAACCUCAUUCCUCUCACUUUGUUGAAACAGAUUUCCAAACCCCCUUUGAGUAGCCGUCACCCUCUCCGAUAGGGUUCAGCCUUGGAGCUCCGUCGCACUUGUUCGAGCCAGUUUCGUUCCACCUCGCUAAACCGCUCUAGGAGCUGCUGCCUUUCUCUGUUUAUACCCAAGAACCCAACUGUUAGCCCUUUUCCAUAUGCGAGGAACACCCGUGGUCAACAGGGAGGUGAUGGUUCUGCUGCUUAGUCUUUGGGUUGACUUCUGCCCUUGGACUCUUCAUUUAGGGCUAAGGCCCAUGUAUUGUUUUCUCCAGAAAUUUGUUUAAAUCAUUUUUAUUCUCUUACUUUACUUUGUACCCGACAUCGUGGUGUAUCUCUUUUUUUCGUCCUCUACGCAAUUGGGAUAUAUGUAGGAGUGACGUUAUACUCUUUUAUCCUCGCUUCUUAUAUUAUAUUGUGUGAUAUAUCC
This is a long non-coding RNA of Vigna unguiculata (cowpea), 530 nucleotides long. RefSeq lists it as uncharacterized. NCBI's taxonomy places the organism in Eukaryota, Viridiplantae, Streptophyta, Magnoliopsida, Fabales, Fabaceae. The record is from RefSeq and is a predicted model, not a curated record.